UACUCCCAGAGAAGCCUUCCAAAAUAGGUUACCCAACAUAGGUUAUCAAGGCGUUAAUAUAGGUAUUGUCCAUCCAUACAAAUACCAUUGCUAUACAUACCAGCAGAACAUCCAGAGACAAAUUUUGCUCUCACAGUGCCUGAGAGUACAAAAACAUCCCUUAGAGCAUACCAAGGGUUGUUCCAGCAUAAAAUGAGCCCCUGAAAUUUCUGCUUCAAGCAGAAACCAAAGGAUGCAGAAUUGUAUGAAGCAGGCUACUGUGAAAUGGGUAGAUUUACUCAAACGCAUUUUUAUGGCUACAUUUCCCUGUCAGACAAUGAAAGAAACCGGCUUCUUGUGCCAGCGUACUUGCAGGUGGGAGGGGCAAGGAAGAAAAAGAGCUGAAGUAACAGAAGGUUCAUCCUAACACACUGAUGGGUUUUACAGCACAAUAUUCAGAGCACGAACACCUACAAUGCAAUCCAAAUGUUUCCUCCAUGAUAACAUAAUGUAUUUGAAACGCUGUUUUCCAACACUUUAUAUAAAUAUUUCUUUCUUCCUGAUCCCACAUUAUUCUGUUUGAAGUUCAUGUUCUCAGUUUGUUUUGAGGACUGCAUGUAAAUAUCCCUAUAACCCUGUGUACUCUUGUGGGGCCAUUUAAACGCUACCAGACUGUAAUGGACCCAAAAGCAGAUGCCAAGAAGUCACAAUCCUGCAUCCCUAAGUUACAACUGAACCUUCUAUCUCCAGAUUAAGAAAUAAAGAGGUACUCACAGAUAUAUACACACACACGCAUGCACACCCUUCUCAUACAAGUUGCAGGAUAUUUACAGGAAAAAAUAUUUUUAAAAACCCAAAUGAAACUUAAGUUUGGGGUUUUUUUCUUUCUUUUUUAAUACAAUUUUUUAUUUGGGAACUUCGCGAUUAAUUUUGUCUUGGCCUCUUAGGAAACAUUUGCUUUUGUCCAGGACUUGCCAGCUGAGAGGAUGUUAUUGUUCGGAAGGGAUGUGACCAGGAGGACCCUGUGCACGGCACAAUGUGUCAGCCCGGAAGCAAGGGAAGAAAAGUGGUUCUCUCAUCUGGCUAAGAAAACCAAAUGGAAACAUUGAGCGUUCGCCUUCCAGUUACAGUCACCCCCAAGUGUGUCCCCAAGUAACAUGUUAGUCACGGGUAUCUCACAUGAGUAUCACCACCAAAAUAUAUCAAUAUAUUAAAAAAGAAUCCCUACUUUAAAAGGAAUUACAGAUUUCUUUAGAAAUGCAAAGAUUUCUGCCACAAACAUCUUCAAAACACAUAAGCAGGUUAAUGCUUACCCCACUGCUCUGAAUGAUGGAUGGGGUUUGACACGGCCCCCGCCCCUCAGCCUGUGCCCCCCCACCCCGAGCAUCAGCAACCCGUCCUGGCAGCAACCAUCCCUGUGGAGCCACCCAGUCGGUCGGGAGCAGGAGAGCCAAGCCCUCCCCAGCGGCCGGCACACUCCUGCCUGCCUGGGCUUCCAGUGGAGUCUGCAGCCAACUUCACUCAAGUGUUUCACACUUCACAGUACAUGUUUCAGUAGCAAUAUGAGAGCCCAGCAUGCUUCAGUGCUCGGGAAUGGUGAUGCUCCUGCAGCAUCACCUUUGAAGCCCUCUAGUUCCUUGCUGAGAGUCUUCAUCUGGGAGAUUUUUAAGUUUCAAUGCAGUUUUCUUGAAGAACACCUGUGCUUUGUGUGCGGUCACCAUUCCACGUGAGGUGCUGUGCCCAGAGGACACCUCUUACCAAACCCUUCUCUUAAACAAAGCAUUCUCCAUGCCCUCUCAGCGGUGGCCACGGUCCCACGAGGAAGCGCAGCCCCACCAAAGCCAGCAGCGGGAAGCAGGGCCCUGAGCCCUGCAGCACCGCCUGCUCCUGAGGCGAGGCUGGUCUGCGCCAGCGGGCCGGGAGCGCCCGGCCCGUGAGGCGAACGGCACCCCGCGCCCAGCUCGGCCCCACAGCGCCCGUCCGCCCUCGGGACCGCCCGCCGCAGCCGCGGCCCCCAGCCCGGCCCUCACCCGGCGUCGGGCGCGGGCGCUACCGGGCGUCGCCGGCGCUGAGCGGGUAGGCGAGGAGACUCAUGGCCUCGCCGCAGGCGGCCUCCACCUGCCGCACCUGCUGCCGGCUGAGGCGCUCCCGCCAGGCAUGGAUGGCCUCCCGCGCGUCGCGGGCGGAGAUGAGGAAGGGCCGGUCGGAGGAGUAGGCGGCGCCGCGGGUCAUGUUGAGCACGAAGUCCUCCAGCGCGGGCGGCACGGGCAGCCCGGCGAAGCGGAGCAGGCGGCGCAGCUGGGCGCGGGGCUCCCGCACCAGGUCCUCGUAGCGCAGCUGCGUGUAGCGGCGGCGGACCCAGGCCGGGGCGCGGCGGGCCAGGAGGAGGUCGCGCAGCCAGGCCUGGCAGAUCACCUCCAGGGCGCCGCCGAGGAAAAACUCGGCGCGGUGCUGCGGCGCCCGCCCGCCGCCCAGCACGCCGGGCAGCUGCUGGUGCGGGUGGCGGAGCGUCCCCCGCGGCUCGGCGCGGUGCCGGCUGCGCAGCACCUGGAUGCUCUCCCGCAGCAGCGCCUGCCGGGCCUUGAGGCGGGAGUUGUGGACGGCGCGGGGGUCGCGGAAGAGCUGCACCACGCGGAGGUUGAGGCCGGGCUCCCGCAGCAGCGGCAGCAGCGCGCCCAGCUGCAGCAGCCGCACGUCCUUGAUGACCACCACUGGGUAUUUGCGGCACUCGGCCUCCAGCUCCCGCAGCGCCCGCGGCGGGCACGUCUCCUCGCAGGCGGCGCCGUCGACGAGGCCGAUUUCGCCGCGGGCCCGCGGAGCACCGGGGCAGAGCGGCGGCGAGCAGAUCACCUUGUUGGUCCUCCAGCCGAAGAUGCCGGCCGUGGUGAGGUUGUCGGCGGCGGGCGGGGCGGGGGCCAGCGGGUCGCGGGGGCCGGGCGGCGCGGCGUAGAGGUGCAGGACGGAGAAGUCGCAUCGGAAGAGGGCGCGCAGCAUGUCGCGGAGGGCGCCCUGCAGGCUCAGCGCGUCCCCCGGGUACAGGGCCUGCCACAGGUGCCACAUGGGCUCGUAGAGGUAGAAGACGUCGGGGUGCUGGUUGAAGAGCUCCCCGAGGAAGGAGGAUCCCGUGCGCCAAGUGGCGUGCAGGUAGAUGUGCCGCUUCCCCGCCGCGCUGCCGUUACCCGCCGCCUCGUCCCCGUCCUCGUCCUCCUCUUCCUCGUCCAGCGGCGGCUGCUGCUGCUCCCAGCCCCACUCGCUCAGCGCCUCUUCCAGGCUGGGGCAGCGCCGCAGCAGCGGCUCCUCGUCCGCCCGCCCGCGCCGGGCCCCGUAGUCCAGAGCGUAGGGUACCAACAGGAGCAGCACCAGCGUGUACAGGACCAACACGGCGGCGAAACGGCGGUGCUCGCCCCGCCACCGCCGGCGGCCCUUCAUCGCGGGGGUCGGCUCCGGACCGCCGGAGCUCCGACGACCCUCUGGCUGCCGGAGGAAGGCUCUUCGCGAAGAGGCAAAGUUAGCGGCGGCGGCCCGGCCCGCCCCGCCGGGGAGCACGCCCACGGGCACGCCGGACAAGCUCGGGGCUGCCGGCCCUGCCGCUCGCCCGCCCGCCCUCGCCGCCACCGCCUCCUCCUUCGCCUUCUCCUCCUCCUGCUCCUCUUCGCAGCGCGACGCGGAAGCGCCCGCACCUGCCCCCGCCGCCGCCUGAGGAGCCGCCGCUGGCGGCGGGGCGCGGGCUGCUGCGCUGAGCGGGGCGCCGCGGCGGCCCUCGCCCAGC
Strigops habroptila (Kakapo) is the source of this 3748-nucleotide long non-coding RNA. Lineage: Eukaryota; Metazoa; Chordata; Aves; Psittaciformes; Psittacidae. The record is from Ensembl.